Molecule: ribosomal RNA, 569 nt
Filed under: Alternaria alternariae
Lineage: Eukaryota; Fungi; Ascomycota; Dothideomycetes; Pleosporales; Pleosporaceae
Description: SSU rRNA
Rfam family: Eukaryotic small subunit ribosomal RNA
Source: RNAcentral
AUUGACAGAUUGAGAGCUCUUUCUUGAUUUUUCAGGUGGUGGUGCAUGGCCGUUCUUAGUUCGUGGGGUGACUUGUCUGCUUAAUUGCGAUAACGAGCGAGACCUUACUCUGCUAAAUAGCCAGGCUAGCUUUGGCUGGUCGCCGGCUUCUUAGAGAGACUAUCAACUCAAGUUGAUGGAAGUUUGAGGCAAUAACAGGUCUGUGAUGCCCUUAGAUGUUCUGGGCCGCACGCGCGCUACACUGACAGAGCCAACGAGUUCUUCACCUUGUUCGAAAGAAUUGGGUAAUCUUGUUAAACUCUGUCGUGCUGGGGAUAAAGCAUUGCAAUUAUUGCUUUUCAACGAGGAAUGCCUAGUAAGCGCGUGUCAUCAGCAUGCGUUGAUUACGUCCCUGACCUUUGUACACACCGCCCGUCGCUACUACCGAUUGAAUGGCUCAGUGAGGCCUUCGGACUGGCUCGGGGAGGUUGGCAACGACCACCCCAAGCCGGAAAGUUCGUCAAACUCGGUCAUUUARAAGGAAGUAAAAAGUCGUAACAAGGUCUUCCGUAGGUGAACCUGCGGAGGGA